CUUUAUUUGUGCUUUAUUUUCCAUCACUUUAAAAUUUGUCGUUAACACUUCACCGCUUCAACUACAAGGGGAUUUCAGUUACUUAUGGGAUAGCCAGAAACAUUCUUUGUACUGUAAUUCAAUAAACAAAUUGCAAAUCCUGUUUCAUGGAACAAGACUCUAUCAUUGCAGCUCUUAGAACAAUUCUAAAUGUCCAACACCUGAAAUGAAUCAGCCACCACUUUAAGUUUGUUGCGGAAUUUUCUCCAUCGCCUUUCAUUCGCUCCCACGAUUAAUGUGUAGUAUCUCCCAUUUGCAAUUGCUAUAGUAGCAAAUGCUGCCCGCGAAAAAUUUGGAGAUGUCAAUACAUAUUCAAAGGUGAAAUAGUUUUUCCCAUCCGUAGUUCUCUCCUUCAUUUCCAUUAUAUUUGCCACCUGAUUCGGUGCAGAGUAAACAUGUUUUACCAGAUCGGGCACAACCUCUUGCAUUGGCCCCAAAUCAUGGAUAUCUGUUUUAUCAGUUGGUAUAAAACUAAGUCUUACAUUUUGCAGUUGUAGAUACCUAUCUUUAAAUGCAGAAUCAUGACCUCUGAAAUCGAAUUCCCUCCAAUCUGAUGGAUAGUAAUACGAAUAACCAUCUCGUUUGUCAACAAAGAUUUCAUAGUUCUCCGGUACUCCUUGAGCUAGAAGGGG
Molecule: unclassified non-coding RNA, 671 nt
Filed under: Hevea brasiliensis (rubber tree)
Lineage: Eukaryota; Viridiplantae; Streptophyta; Magnoliopsida; Malpighiales; Euphorbiaceae
Source: RNAcentral